GACGAACGCUGGCGGCGUGCUUAACACAUGCAAGUCGAACGGAAAGGCCCUGCUUUUGUGGGGUGCUCGAGUGGCGAACGGGUGAGUAACACGUGAGUAACCUGCCCUUGACUUUGGGAUAACUUCAGGAAACUGGGGCUAAUACCGGAUAGGAGCUCCUGCUGCAUGGUGGGAGUUGGAAAGUUUCGGCGGUUGGGGAUGGACUCGCGGCUUAUCAGCUUGUUGGUGGGGUAGUGGCUUACCAAGGCUUUGACGGGUAGCCGGCCUGAGAGGGUGACCGGCCACCUUGGGACUGAGAUACGGCCCAGACUCCUACGGGAGGCAGCAGUGGGGAAUAUUGCACAAUGGGCGGAAGCCUGAUGCAGCAACGCCGCGUGCGGGAUGACGGCCUUCGGGUUGUAAACCGCUUUCGCCUGUGACGAAGCGUGAGUGACGGUAAUGGGUAAAGAAGCACCGGCUAACUACGUG
This 468-nucleotide ribosomal RNA is filed under the name uncultured bacterium. Its description in RNAcentral is "partial 16S ribosomal RNA". It matches the Rfam family "Bacterial small subunit ribosomal RNA", at positions 28 to 507 of the family's 1533-position model. The record is from RNAcentral.